ACGAAGGGUGCAAGCGUUACUCGGAAUUACUGGGCGUAAAGCGUGCGUAGGUGGUUUGUUAAGUCCGUUGUGAAAGCCCCGGGCUCAACCUGGGAAUGGCAGUGGAAACUAGGGGACUGGAAUCUGGCAGAGGGGGGUGGAAUGCCGCGUGUAGCAGUGAAAUGCGUAGAGAUGCGGCGGAACACCGAUGGCGAAGGCAGCCCCCUGGGCUGAGAUUGACGCUCAGGCACGAAAGCGUGGGGAGCAAACAGGA
RNAcentral lists this ribosomal RNA (253 nucleotides) under uncultured prokaryote. RNAcentral describes it as "partial 16S ribosomal RNA". It matches the Rfam family "Bacterial small subunit ribosomal RNA", at positions 525 to 777 of the family's 1533-position model. The record is from RNAcentral.